Long non-coding RNA from Oncorhynchus tshawytscha (Chinook salmon), 2853 nucleotides. The record is from Ensembl. NCBI's taxonomy places the organism in Eukaryota, Metazoa, Chordata, Actinopteri, Salmoniformes, Salmonidae.
AAAUCACACUAGGUUUGGCUAAAGAUCAAUUCCUUCCAAUACAAAUCACACUAGGUUUGGCUAAAGAUCAAUUCCUUCCAAUACAAAUCACACUAGGUUUGGCUAAAGAUCAAUUCCUUCCAAUACAAAUCACACUAGGUUUGGCUAAAGAUCAAUUCCUUCCAAUACAAAUCACACUAGGUUUGGCUAAAGAUCAAUUCCUUCCAAUACAAAUCACACUAGGUUUGGCUAAAGAUCAAUUCCUUCCAAUACAAAUCACACUAGGUUUGGCUAAAGAUCAAUUCCAAAAUGUGAAACAUUGAAAUAUCAAUAUCAUUUAUAAUUCAUUAAUACUUUAUAUAGGCAACAAAUCAAUACAACUAUUUUUUCUUUCAAAAUUAGUUAUUCAGUAUAUCUCGAUAUCCAUUUUCAAAUCGUAAUUAGAAACUUUCAAUUUAAUUAAAUACGUCUGUUUUCCCCCCACUGUCCUGCAUUGUGUUUUCUGCUCCAGGAUACAUUUUAUAAAUACUUUUCCCCUAAAAGUCAAACACUCGUUAUCAACUUGUAGAUCAGUUAUCGAACCCACAGAUAAUCCAAGAACAACCCACCAAAGCCCAUCCGCAACGAAAUAACUAACAAACCAGUAAAACAGUAUUCAAUAUCAUCAGGUCAAAAUCAGAGAUGUAAUUUAUAAAACAUUAUAUAAAAUAAAACACUCUGGGGAAAGAACUUGAUACCACACUAAAGAGAGGCUACAAUUAUAAAAAUUUAUUUUUAAAAAAAGUAUCAGGUUUGGACACGUGUUAGUGUUGUGAGUGGAAUUUCUAUAACGUGUGUUUGUAGUUUGUACACUACAUGACCAAAAGUAUGUGGACACCUGCCCGUCCAACAUCUCAUUGCAAAAAACAUGGGUAUUACAUAUGGAGUUGGUCCUCCCCUUUGCUGCUAUAACAGCCUCCUCUCUUCUGGGAAGGCUUUCCACUAGAUGUUGGAACAUUGCUGCUAUAACAGACUCCUCUCUUCUGGGAAGGCUUUCCACUAGAUGUUGGAACAUUGCUGAGGGGACUUUCUUCCAUUCAGUCACAAGAGCAUUAGUGAGGUCAGUGCAUUGAUGUUGGGCGAUUAGGCCUCCUGGCUCGCAGUCUGCGUUCCAAUUCAUCCCAAAGGUGUUCGAUGGGGUUGAGGUCAGGGCUCUGUGCAGGCCAGUCAAGUUCUUCUACACUGAUCUCGACAAACCAUUUCCGUAUGGACCUCGCUUUGUGAACGGGGGCAUUGUCAUGCUGAAACAGGAAAGGGCCUUCCCCAAAACAUUUGUCUCAAAGUUGGAAGCAGAGAAUCAUCUUGAAUGUCAUUGUCUGCUGUAGCAUUAAGAUUUCCCUUCACUGGAACUAAGGGACCCGAACCAUGGAAAACAGCCCCAGACCAUUAUUCUUCCUCCACCAAACUUUACAGUUGGCACUAUGCAUUCAGGCAGGUAGCGUUCUCCUGGCAUUCGCCAAACCCAGAUUCAUCCGUCAGACUGCCAGAUGGUGAAGCGUUUCCACUACUCCAGAAUCCAAUGGUGGUGAGCUUUACACCACUCCAGCCGACGCUUGGCUUUGCGCAUGGUGAUCUUAGGCUUGUGUGCGGCUGCUCGGCCAUGGAAACCCAUUUCAUGAAGCUCCCAACGAACAGUUCUUGUGCUGACGUUGCUUCCAGAGGCAGUUUGAAACUCGGUAGUGAGUGUUGCAACCGAGGUCAGACGAUUGUUACGUGCCAAGCGCUUCAGCACUCGGGUGGUCCCGUUCUGUGAGCUUAUGUGGCCUACCACUUAGCGGCUGAGCCGCUCUGUAAUAACAGAACUUACAGUUGACCGGGGGGCAGCUCUAGCAGGGCAGAAAUUUGACAAACUGACUUGUUGGAAAGGUGGCAUCCUACGAUGGUGCCACGUUGAACGUCAAUGAGCUCUUCACUAAGGCAAUUCUACUACCAGUGUUUGUCUAUGGAGAUUGCAUGGAGGCAUGCUCAAUUUUAUACACCUGUCGGCAACAGAUGUCUGAAAUAGACGAAUCCACUCAUUUGAAGGGGUGUCCACAUACUUUUGUAUAUAUAGUGUAGCUAGACACGAUUACUUACUGUAAGACCUCUGUAAAAUGUGGCAAUACAUUUAAAAAGAUUGACAUAAAGGCACUGUAAUGAAUUGCGUAGAGAACCAUUUUUUACCCCUCUACUGUAGUUGCUGAGUCCCAUCAAGGCUUAAAACUUUCGUAACAGGUUUAUAUAUAUAUAUCUUUAUAAAACGGGCCGGUUUCCUCAUUCGGCCUAAACCUAGUUCUGGGCUAGAGAGCAGUGGUGAAUGGACAUUCUCCAUUGAAAGUGAUGUUUAGUCCAGGACCAAGGGGUCGUCUGAGAAAGCAGCCCUAUAAUAGUUCAGAAUGAACCAGUGACAUCAUUAUUAGGUAAAAAACAUGAACAACGUAUCUGAUUACAAUUCUCCUCUUAACUACUGUUGUUUUCCUAUUGGAGUGAACAGCAGCAGAUUGUUCCUCUCUAUUGUCCCUUCAGGGCUACUGGCCUCGUCCAUCUUCAUGAAGACAGUCUUCUAAUGGGUUCUAGCCUCGUCCAUCUUCACGAAGACAGUCUUCUAAUGGGUUCUGGCCUCGUCCAUCUUCACGAAGACAGUCUUCUAAUGGGUUCUAGCCUCGUCCAUCUUCACGAAGACAGUCUUCUAAUGGGUUCUGGCCUCGUCCAUCUUCAUGAAGACAGUCUUCUAAUGGGUUCUGGCCUCGUCCAUCUUCAUGAAGACAGUCUUCUAAUGGGUUCUAGCCUCGUCCAUCUUCAUGAAGACAGUCUUCUAAUGGGUUCUAGCCUCGUCCAUGAAGACAGUCUUCUAAU